GGUUAGCUGAUUGGGUUUGGUUUUAGUUUUCCUUCCUUCCUGUCUUGUUUUGAAUUGACUGUGGUGGGUUUUGUUGUUGUUUUAUUGUUUUGUUUUAAUUUUUUUCAUAUUCAUUCCACUUCUCCCAAAGAACUAGAAGAGGAAACAUCUGAAUUCAUAAUUCUAUUUGUAAGAUUUCAGUAUUUUCUCAAAUUGAUAAAACAAAUUAGGGUGGAAGUUGAAAUUUUGAGCAAGCUGAUUAACAAAAUUCUCUUGAUUCCUGAAUGUAAACACACUGCACCAUAAGACUGCUGUUUCCACGAAUACACAGAACACUUGGAAAUUAACCUAGUUGACUAAGCCCUAGAGCAAAUAUAAACAAAUUUAAAAGUAUUGAAAUUACAUAGAAUGUAUAUUUUGGCCACACUUUACCUUCUAGGCUAGAGUUAAAUAGCAAAUCCCAGGCAUUUUUAUAUACUCAAAAAAAAUAAAUAAAUAAUGGUUAUACUAUCAAAGCUAACACAAGGAUCUAGCCUGUGGUAAAAUACCAAUGCAAAAAGAAAACACAAGUAACCAGUCUCAGGAAUGAAACGGGACAUUACUGUAGAUGCUAUAGGCUGUAGAAGAUAACAAGAUAAUACAAAGAACUUUUUGCUAAGACCUUGAAAAUUAUAUCAUAAAACAGUUCAAAUAUAGAAAAAGAGAACCUGAGUAGUUUUAUACCACUGAAAAAGUUGUUAAACAUCUUCCUACAGAAGAAAUCAAGGACCUCAUGGGCUAACUAAGGAGUAGGAAUAACCAAAAUGCUCCAGAGAAGUGGUACUUUGGGCACCAGUUCAAUAUGAGACUACCUCAACUUGCUGACAAUCCAAGGGCAUCCCACCAGCCUCAGAGUCCAUGGAAGCCAAGAUCCGCAUCAGAGUACCAACAACCAGUCAUACAUUAGAAGAACAAACAAGGUCAUGAUUACCUCGGGUCUGUCUGUCUAUGAGAUCUCAAACUAAUCUUAACAUCUGAAAAUCACCAGUGGCAGCCCACCACUAUCAUAGACU
RNAcentral lists this long non-coding RNA (1031 nucleotides) under Mus musculus (house mouse). Its description in RNAcentral is "long non-coding RNA chr6:48419322-48420353". The record is from RNAcentral. Lineage: Eukaryota; Metazoa; Chordata; Mammalia; Rodentia; Muridae.